AUUGAACGCUGGCGGCAGGCCUAACACAUGCCAGUCGAGCGGAUGAAGGGAGCUUGCUCCUGGAUUCAGCGGCGGACGGGUGAGUAAUGCCUAGGAAUCUGCCUGGUAGUGGGGGAUAACGUCCGGAAACGGGCGCUAAUACCGCAUACGUCCUGAGGGAGAAAGUGGGGGAUCUUCGGACCUCACGCUAUCAGAUGAGCCUAGGUCGGAUUAGCUAGUUGGUGGGGUAAAGGCCUACCAAGGCGAGGAUCCGUAACUGGUCUGAGAGGAUGAUCAGUCACCCGAGAACUUAGACACGGUCCAUGGUCCUACGGUAGGCAGCAGUGGGGAAUAUUGGACAAUGGGCGAAAGCCUGAUCCAGCCAUGCCGCGUGUGUGAAGAAGGUCUUCGGAUUGUAAAGCACUUUAAGUUGGGAGGAAGGGCAGUAAGUUAAUACCUUGCUGUUUUGACGUUACCAACAGAAUAAGCACCGGCUAACUUCGUG
Molecule: ribosomal RNA, 484 nt
Filed under: uncultured bacterium
Lineage: Bacteria
Description: partial 16S ribosomal RNA
Rfam family: Bacterial small subunit ribosomal RNA
Source: RNAcentral